GACAUCGUUUACGGCGUGGACUACCAGGGGUAUCUAAUCCUGUUUGCUCCCCACGCUUUCGCACCUCAGUGUCAGUAUCAGUCCAGGUGGUCGCCUUCGCCACUGGUGUUCCUUCCUAUAUCUACGCAUUUCACCGCUACACAGGAAAUUCCACCACCCUCUACCGUACUCUAGCUCAGUAGUUUUGGAUGCAGUUCCCAGGUUGAGCCCGGGGAUUUCACAUCCAACUUGCUGAACCACCUACGCCCGCUUUACGCCCAGUAAUUCCGAUUAACGCUUGCACCCUUCGUAUUACCGCGGCUGCUGGCACGAAGUUAGCCGGUGCUUAUUCUGUUGGUAACGUCAAAACAGCAAGGUAUUAACUUACUGCCCUUCCUCCCAACUUAAAGUGCUUUACAAUCCGAAGACCUUCUUCACACACGCGGCAUGGCUGGAUCAGGCUUUCGCCCAUUGUCCAAUAUUCCCCACUGCUGCCUCCCGUAGGAGUCUGGACCGUGUCUCAGUUCCAGUGUGACUGAUCAUCCUCUCAGACCAGUUACGGAUCGUCGCCUUGGUAGGCCUUUACCCCACCAACUAGCUAAUCCGACCUAGGCUCAUCUGAUAGCGUGAGGUCCGAAGAUCCCCCACUUUCUCCCUCAGGACGUAUGCGGUAUUAGCGCCCGUUUCCGGACGUUAUCCCCCACUACCAGGCAGAUUCCUAGGCAUUACUCACCCGUCCGCCGCUGAAUCCAGGAGCAAGCUCCCUUCAUCCGCUCGACUUGCAUGUGUUAGGCCUGCCGCCAGCGUUCAAUCUGAGCCAGGAUCAAACCCUC
This 812-nucleotide ribosomal RNA is filed under the name uncultured bacterium. RNAcentral describes it as "partial 16S ribosomal RNA". The record is from RNAcentral.